GUGCUCGCUUUGGCAGCACAUAUAGUAAAAAUGGAACGAUACAAAGAUAAGCAUGACACCUGUGCAAGGAUGACAUUCAAAAUUGUUUUGAAUGUCAUUCCUUAUUUUU
Molecule: small nuclear RNA, 109 nt
Organism: Cavia porcellus (domestic guinea pig)
Lineage: Eukaryota; Metazoa; Chordata; Mammalia; Rodentia; Caviidae
Source: Ensembl